UGUAAAGGAAAUGAGUGGUUCUAGAGCUUAACCUUUCCAUGGUGCCUCGUACUCAGUUGCAAGAUUUUAUCAGAUUGAAACUUCAUCAGUGUUUCAUUCGGCUCUGGCCCAGGAAUUCCAUUCUCUUGGUUAAGUAAGGGUACCUGAAAAGUAUAAUAAAGUCCACAAAAAUUAAAUGAAACUCUGCAGCAAGAAUGUGUCAAAUGAAAUGAUAUUAAACAAAGGAAAACAAAAGAAUCUAUAAUCAAGCUCAACGUUAAUAAGGAUGCUAAACUUGCACAAACAAUUUGUUAGAUGGAGAGCAUUUAAGGUAAAUUUUAACCUUGCAUCGAGGGCAUAACUGAAUGCUUAUGAAAGUUAUGUUGUUGAGGUCCUCAGCAAAUCGUUCACCCCCAUCAAUAAAUAUGUUGUAAAAAUCAAGUGUUUUUUUAUACUAUAGAUUACAGCUUAUAUAUGAGACAAAAAGUCCAAAGAUAAUAAGGCAAUAUUAAGAAAUCAGAUUAGGAUAUACAUAGCCCUAAAAAAAAGUUAGACCUGGGGCGGAAAUGAUUAACAGGUAAAGGCUCCUCCAGCUGGCUAUUAAGUUCAUCUAAAGAUCCCUGCAUAUGAUACAUACUCAUAUUAGGCACCAGUUCUGCACUUAUAUACAAAGAUUAUAUAAAUCAUAAAUGUUUAAAUAACAUGGGAAAGCAUUAGAAACUGAUACUGGUCGGUAAACACAAGAUUGUAUCCGGUUGUAGGAGCAUAAUCCGGGAGAGGCCUGGAGUCAGACUUUGUAUGAGCAGGAAUCUUUAUUUCUCUUUCCUUCAAACAGAUGAAAUAGUUUACUUUGUGCCUAUAACAGGAGAAGCAUUACCAUAUCGUGCAGAUGGAUAGAUGCUGAGACUCAAAGGGCGAUAAAGUGCGCCGGCUUAGCCGAUCAAAAGGAGCACCCACUAUGUUGAUUCUAAUUACAGUUUUGGAACUGAUUAACAUCUAUAUAUGCAGCUCAAUGAACAUGUAUGUGCAAUAACUACGGAGGGAUUUGUGGGGGCGUAAUUACAGUAAAAGCAAUUAAAUAUUCAUAUAUGUACUACUACAACUAUUACAUCCACAUUUUGUCAAAAAAAAAAAACUAUUACAUCCACAUUAACAUCAAUAAAGCCUCUUCAUCAAUUUCAACACAACUCCAAAGAUAGCAGAUGACCAUGAUUGUCCAAAACCGGUUCAAUGACAUAAAGACACAGAAAGCAAAAAAAAAAAUGUCACUCUAUAAACUACUGGCUUGAGUUAUAUUACUAUGUUAUUUUAUUAAAGAAACCAGGAAGUUCUGCUACAAUUUACAAAAACAAAACUAUUAACUUGACCAAAACCCCUGCUUUACAAUAAAAAGUUCAAAUCCCCUGCUUUAUAUAAACAAAAAUAUUCAAAACCCCUGCUUUACAAUAAAAAGUUCAAAGCCUACUCUUAUAUUAAACUAAAAUAUUCAAAACCAAAAGGAAAAUACACCAAAUAUUCUACUUGAUAACAAACAUUCGGAACGUAGUUGAAACCCAGCUUUUUAUUAUUGUAUUUCCUAGCAAAGGAAUAUAACAAAUAAUGACAGUAGGGCUCGUAAAAACAUAAACAUAAAACUUUUACAUACCAGUGUGUAAUAUUAUGAUCAGGUGAAAGCUUGUAUAUAACUUUUCUUGUAUGGAAACAAUUUGUUCCAGUAGGCCAGUACAUUGGUCCUUGAAUUCCUGCCAGUCCAUGCCCUAUAAACUAUACAGUUUAUGCAAUAAUAACUCAUAAUUUAAGUCCAGGUGAAGGCAUGUGUAUAUGAGAGAGAGCUUAUAUUCUUGUAAUUGACCAUAAUGCAAAUAAUGCAAAAAGU
Molecule: long non-coding RNA, 1855 nt
Filed under: Daucus carota (carrot)
Lineage: Eukaryota; Viridiplantae; Streptophyta; Magnoliopsida; Apiales; Apiaceae
Description: long non-coding RNA (DCAR_LNC001012)
Source: RNAcentral